GUGGUCAUUCACUUCAGCAGCACAUGGACUAAAAUUCUUUAUACAAAGAAGAUUAGCACAAUGUCUGCACGAGAGUGAUAAGCAAUUUCAUGAAGUGUUUCAUUUUUUU
Vombatus ursinus (common wombat) is the source of this 109-nucleotide small nuclear RNA. The record is from Ensembl. Lineage: Eukaryota; Metazoa; Chordata; Mammalia; Diprotodontia; Vombatidae.